RNAcentral lists this unclassified non-coding RNA (216 nucleotides) under rhizosphere metagenome. Its description in RNAcentral is "partial ribosomal RNA internal transcribed spacer region". The record is from RNAcentral.
GUAGGUGAACCUGCGGAAGGAUCAUUACCGAGUUCAUGCCCUUCGGGGUAGAUCUCCCACCCUUUGUAUACUAUACCUCUGUUGCUUUGGCGGGCCGCCUAGCUACUGGCUUCGGCUGGUAAGUGCCCGCCAGAGGACCCAAAACCCUGAAUAUUAGUGUCGUCUGAGUAAAAAGUUUAAUAUUUAAAACUUUCAACAACGGAUCUCUUGGCUCUG